This 460-nucleotide ribosomal RNA is filed under the name uncultured bacterium. Its description in RNAcentral is "partial 16S ribosomal RNA". It matches the Rfam family "Bacterial small subunit ribosomal RNA", at positions 338 to 795 of the family's 1533-position model. The record is from RNAcentral.
CCUACGGGUGGCAGCAGUGAGGAAUAUUGCUCAAUGGGCGCGAGCCUGAACCAGCCAAGUAGCGUGAAGGAUGACUGCCCUACGAGUUGUAACCUUCGUUUAUAGAGGAAUAAAGUGCGGCACGUGUGCCUUUUUGUAUUUACUUUAUGAAUAAAGGUCGGCUAACUCCUUUCCCGCAGCCGCGGUACUACGGAGGAUCCGAGCGUUGUCCGGAUUUAUUGGGUGUAAAGGGGUCGUAUAUGGGUUGUUAAGUCAGUUGUGAAAGUGCGUGGCUAAACCGGACACUUGCAAUUGAGACUGGCAGGCUGGAGUACAGGUGAGGGAGGCGGAAUUCGUGGUGUAGCGGUGAAAUGCUUAGAUAUCACGAAGAACUCCGAUUGCGAAGGCAGCUUACUAAAACGUAACUGACACUGAGGCGCGAAAGCGUGGGUAGCAAACAGGAUUAGAUACCCUAGUAGUC